GUGAAUUUUGAUACUGAUAAAAGAUUUUUCUUAAUCUCAGGAACUAUCAGCACAUCAUUUAGAGGCAAGGCAGCAAUUGCAGCAUUUAAUAUUGCAUUACCAAUAUAUUUGACAGUGCUGCUAGAGCUGUUGGUAUAUCCUCAGCUUGGUAGGAGUUAUCAAACCGAUACCAAUAAUGAUAUGACCUGAUAUCAGAAUACCUUUGUGCUGAUACAUUGUAUGGUCUAAACCCUUGAGCAGAA
Long non-coding RNA from Eucalyptus grandis, 242 nucleotides. RefSeq lists it as uncharacterized. The transcript has 3 exons. NCBI's taxonomy places the organism in Eukaryota, Viridiplantae, Streptophyta, Magnoliopsida, Myrtales, Myrtaceae. The record is from RefSeq and is a predicted model, not a curated record.